This 1429-nucleotide long non-coding RNA is filed under the name Equus caballus (horse). RNAcentral describes it as "lncRNA (ENSECAG00000045623.1)". Lineage: Eukaryota; Metazoa; Chordata; Mammalia; Perissodactyla; Equidae. The record is from RNAcentral.
GUGCAGGCGGGUGGGGGAGCGUGGGGCCGCGGUAAACAAACAGGAGAAGCUUCGGCGGGGGCCGAGAUGUAGUAUAAACGUUAAUGGAUGUCCAGGGCGCGCCGAUGCACCGGCGGCUGGCCAGAGGUACUAGGGAGGCGCUGGCAGGAGCCCUGGCGAAGAUGCACCUUCCCCAGCCUGGAAAGAUUGCCAUUUCCUGGAGGACAGGGAAGGUAUAUUAUUUAGCUUUUCAUCCUCCGCAUCUAGCAUGAUGUCUGGCACACAGCAGAUAUUCAAGACACGUUCGUGGAGCUGAAAAAAACCAAACAAAUUAACCAUUAAUAUAAGAAAACUGAAUUGUCUCAGAGACUUCAGCUGGGAUUCCUAAAAAGCUAACAGCAUUAUAAGGUGGUUCUGCUGGAAAGCAAUAUAGCGACAUGUAACAAAAACUAUGAAAAUGUUCAUUCUCCUUCACUAGGUCUUUUCCCAUUUGUGAAUGCUCUCCAAAGAAAUAAUCCAAAGGGGUGAAAUGUACACAGAUGUUCCCGGCAACUCUAGUUAUAAUAGUGAAAAGAACUGGAAGCAAUCCAAGUGUCUAAUAGGGAAAUGACUAAGCAAACAAUGGGAUUAUUAUAUUGCUAUUAAAAAUGACGGAGGUGAGGACUGUGUCAACAUAGAGAAGUGUGUAUCUGCAGGAACGUUAAGUGGAAAAAAGAACACAAACCAGUGUUUAAACACCAGUGGUUAAAGAUGUGUGUGUACAUUAACAGAGAUCAGAGGCCACUUUGGAGAAAUGAAAAUGGCCGGGGUUCAGUGUUCACUGGGUCUUUUUUUCCUAUGCAGUUCCAUGAGCUUAUGACAAUAAUAGGCGAGAUGUCAUGCAACAUAGAUAUCCUGAAAGUCAUCUGCAGAAUAAGGCCUCUGUUACCUACUCAGUUGUGUAAUCCAAGAGAUAAUUUAAUGUUCAACUCGCAUCUAAUUAUUAUGAAAAUAACAACAUUUCUUUAAGAGGACAAAAUGCUUUUCUUUAGUUUAAUUCACCAAGCAAUUUUGAGAGCUUAACUAUGUGUUAGAGCACUUACAUUCUCAGGAAAUAUACAAAAAACAUGGGCAGAAAUCCUCAGGUGGAUAUUGUCAUUUUGACUUAACUUUUGUUUAUUUGGGUAAUUGUACAUUUUAGGGCCCAUUACAAAGGAAAGUCUGAAAGAUCUUUGACCUAAACCUCACGUUCACAAAUUGUCUCAAUUUUGUACUUUUGAUAUUGUCUCCAAAACGGGUUUUAUGUAUAGUCACUGAGAAAUACUGAUAAAGAUGAAAAGGAAAAAGUCAUCAUCAUAACUCUCAACUUGAGUCACAUUACCACUGUACUGCACUGUGAAUUAAUAUCUUAUAAAUCAUGCGAUUAUCCUGUGAAUAGCCAAAUAUUGACAUUGCAAAAUAUAUUACAUUG